UACGGAGGGUGCAAGCGUUAAUCGGAAUUACUGGGCGUAAGCGCGCGUAGGCGGUUUUUUAAGUCGGAUGUGAAAGCCCCGGGCUCAACCUGGGAACUGCAUCCGAUACUGGAAGACUAGAAUGCGGGAGAGGGAGGUAGAAUUCCAUGUGUAGCAGUGAAAUGCGUAGAUAUAUGGAGGAAUACCAGUGGCGAAGGCGGCCUCCUGGCUCGACAUUGACGCUGAGGUGCGAAAGCGUGGGGAGCAAACGGG
RNAcentral lists this ribosomal RNA (252 nucleotides) under uncultured bacterium. Its description in RNAcentral is "partial 16S ribosomal RNA". It matches the Rfam family "Bacterial small subunit ribosomal RNA", at positions 524 to 776 of the family's 1533-position model. The record is from RNAcentral.